UGCGGGCCGUGGGGGGCGGCCUGGUCGCGCCUGGGGCGCCCUCGGGGCCGGGCCGCGUCGGGCCGCAGCUGCUGGUGCUCAGCGCCCUGGCCGAGAAGCUGCUGCCCGGGCCCGGCCGCGCGGCGCUGCCAGCGCUUCUGGAGGACCGUGCAGGCCGGGCGGGCCCCGGCCGAGGACGCGCUGCCUGCUGCAACGGGCGGUGGAGGUGUCGGCGGAGCUGGGGGCCGAGUGCGCGCCCCCCCCUCCCCCAACCCCGGCAAGGAAAUGGCACUUGCCUCUCUGUCCCCCGGCCCAUUCCUGCUUGACUUUCUGGGAGGGAGGUCUUCUCCUUCCGCCAGUCAGCUACCGGGGUCGUCUCCGGGAUCCACACAGAAUUUGAUUAUUCUCACGGUUCCCAGAAAGCCCGAAAAACUUGGGGAACCUCAUCUCAGCGUUGUUCUUUGAAGUGACACACAUCACUGGAGCCGAGAACAGUCUGCAUUUCCUCACCUUUCUGACCCACAGCAGGCCCAAGUCUGUGUUGGUGGUCUGAGAAGGAAAAAGAUGAGCUGCUAAAGUUUUAGGAAAACUGUAUUUUAAUUAUGGAAACUCUUGAAGGAAAUCAGAUACAUGUGAUAAAGCCAGUCUUACCAAAGCUAAACAAGCUGUUUGAAUAUGCAGUGUCAGAGGAAAAUGAAGAUGGGUUUGUAUGAUGAACCCUCAUCACCCAGCUUCCACAGUGAGCGGCUUGUGGCCGGCCUCUGCCUUACGUGUAACCUGCCCUGCUGCCAAGGAUUCCGAGGCAUGUUCCUAGACAGCGCAUCAUUUCAUCUGUAAUUAUUUCAGUAUAUAGCCUUAAGGGCUAAGGACUCUGGUAAUGUUUUAGUGAUGGCAUAUUAUACAUUUUAAUAAGAACUCUUUAGUAUUUUAAAUUUUAACUGCUUUCCAUUCUUAUUGUCCAUAUAUCUGUUUCAUUGUUCAAGUUACUUUUUUGGGGUUUCAGUUAUUGCUCUGUAGGUUGGACUUCCUAGGAAGAGAAAAUUCCAAGGUAUUGUUUUAAAUGUGGCUUUUAGGUCCUUAAUCAGUACGGUAUUAUGUGAGCAUUUUAGGAGAAAUAAAAUGAAGCCCGGAGAGCUUCCUAAAAUUAUUUUCUGAAAUUAAGUUUAGGUCAGUGGAACAGCUAAAUGCAGGCUAACGGUGUCUUGUAUUCACAUGAAUGAUAAAGUGCUUCAUUACCGUGUUUACGCACGAGAUUAACCUAGGAUGCUGGCUCUUCCACCCAUCCUGGCACCUGUGUAUUUAUAAGAGUGUUUGAAAGUGGAAACAAAAUCCUGACCAAAGAAGGCAUUACCCAUUUUUUGGAGCUGUGUGAAACAAGGGUUCUCCCAUUUUCACCAGAAUUUUCUGAGGUAAUGACAGUGAUUCCGUCCACGCGUUGCCUCUGUCAAAGGACGAAAGGCGAAGGCAUCCGUUGCAGCAGAUGAGAUCUUCAGAAAUAAAUACUAGGGCUCUAAGAUUAUGAGUAACAUUUUACAGAUUUGCGUACGUCAAAUCCUGUUUCUCUAAACUCAGCUAUCGUACUUGGAAAGACUUCCUGUAAUGUAGUUUGUCGACAGGUUGCCGGCCUCGUGACCAGUGUGGAAAAGGAGCUCUUUGGUGUCAGUGUUCUGAGCAGAAGUCAGCAGCAUGAAGACUGCGCUAGAAGCUUGUCGGCGGUCCUGUUCCACGGUCCUGAGUCUCUGAAGUCCUGCUGCCUGUCUCGUGAUGCCGCUCCCCCAGUUCUAAUUUAUUGUCGGACUGUUGAUGGACACACUUUCAGAGAGCUCUCUGUAUAGCAGGUAGUUUCCUGUUAAAGUUUAUUCAGAGGACGACAAGUAGACAUUGGUGUGCUGUCCCCAUUCUGCUUCUGUUUAAGGCUUUGGCAAAUGUCCCAAGAUGUAAAACUCUGUGUAUAGAAGGCCUUCUUGCCCUCAGGAGAGAGUGUCACUGUUGGACGUCUCAACUUUUCUCAUGUCUGUGAGGCAAGAGGACCCCUUAGGACGAUGGACUUCACUGUGGACAGAGGCUCACUCACUCUGUUAGAAGUCGCCUGAAUCACACACACAAAAAGCAGCUGGCACAAAGACUGGCUGCCCAGAUCGAAAUGAAGUGCCAGCUCAUCGACCGGCUUUACGCGGGUAGACAGGAGUGUGCCGGGGUGGAGACAGCUCUGAAGAACGCCGGGCGAGAGAAGGAGCCAGCAAACAUACCCGGCCUCGCUGCCGCUUACAGACACUUGGUGUCCGUCAACCUGAGUUCCAGGAAGGAAGUCAGUUGUGUCAUCGAAGAACUGAGGAAAGAGAGAUCCCUGCAGUUGAUUCAAGCAGAGAUGGCGGAGAUGCGGAGAGUGCUGGCGUUCCUGGAGGAGGUCACCACAAGCAGCACAUCGCAAGGGGCUGUUCCCACCGAGCCGGGAGACCCUGCGCCAAGCCCUGCUGGUCCCUCUCCCAGGAGUGGGCCCUCGUGUUAAAGCCGCGCUGUGCCCUCCCCUCUCACGCAGGCCUCCCAAGCUGCCGGGCUGCGUGCACUCACCCGGUCAGAUCUCCUCCUGCGCUGCCCUGAGGCCAGUGGAUGGAGGGCAGUCCCCUCCUUUGGACCAGAGUUCCUCCAGCUGUACCCGUGAGCACAGCAGUGAACACCUGCACGGUCAACUUCUCCAUCUCCAAUGUAUUCGAAUUCCCAGAACACACCAAGGAACGUGGGACUUCCUCAGUAUUCACAGACUGCUUGGAUUGUCUCUAAUUGGCAGUGAAGGAAAUGUGUUUAAGAGACUGAUCUUUUACUCAGUUUGAACGUUCCUUGCACCCCAUUUCUCAAGGCAGUUUUAGUAACUAUUAUACAUGAGCUGUAUAAGAGAACUGUAUAUACAGGUUUCUGUACACAAAUAUUGCAGUGUGAUUUGAUAAUAUGUGUAGUUUAUCAGUAUAGGCUUUUAGUUGGCCAUGGUAUUUUUUCUAGAGUUAAAAUCUUAAAAGUCAUCAGUUUAAGCUAAAGAAAUGUUUAUUCUUGAGUUUUGUAUUUAAAAAAAAAAGACAAUGUCUUUGAGAUGAUAAUAGAGUAUGCUUGUAAGAGUUUUUAUUGAAUAGUUAUAUUCUGUUGUAACGGUAGAUAUACUUAAAAAUAAAUUUGUUAAAUUA
Long non-coding RNA from Camelus dromedarius (Arabian camel), 3155 nucleotides. RefSeq lists it as uncharacterized. NCBI's taxonomy places the organism in Eukaryota, Metazoa, Chordata, Mammalia, Artiodactyla, Camelidae. The transcript has 9 exons. The record is from RefSeq and is a predicted model, not a curated record.